GAUGAAAGUAGCAGACGCUAAAAGGUGACCAGAAGGCCUUCAUGUCCAUUAAUAAUGGCUACAUGAUCUCUUAGAACGACUGAGUAAUAACAUCUGGUACUUUUUUCCUAAAUAUUUAAGAUUUUAUUUCUCGUGCUUCGUUUUUUCCGAUUUUUAUUUUUCGUGCUACGUUUUUGCGAUUUUUAUUUCAAGUGUUUCCGUGUUCAGUACCCCCC
This 215-nucleotide long non-coding RNA is filed under the name Mytilus galloprovincialis (Mediterranean mussel). Lineage: Eukaryota; Metazoa; Mollusca; Bivalvia; Mytilida; Mytilidae. The record is from RNAcentral.